GACAGAGGGUGCUAGCGUUGUUCGGAAUGACUGGGCGUAAAGGGCGCGUAGGCGGUAAUAUUAGUCAAGCGUGAAAGCCCCGGGCUUAACCUGGGAACAGCGCCUGAAACGGUAUUACUAGAGGACGAGAGAGGAAAGCGGAAUUCCUAGUGUAGAGGUGAAAUUCGUAGAUAUUAGGAGGAACAUCAGAGGCGAAGGCGGCUUUCUGGCUCGUAACUGACGCUGAGGCGCGAAAGCGUGGGGAGCAAACAGG
This 253-nucleotide ribosomal RNA is filed under the name uncultured bacterium. RNAcentral describes it as "partial 16S ribosomal RNA". It matches the Rfam family "Bacterial small subunit ribosomal RNA", at positions 524 to 776 of the family's 1533-position model. The record is from RNAcentral.